This 887-nucleotide ribosomal RNA is filed under the name uncultured Weissella sp. RNAcentral's name for it is "bacterial SSU rRNA". It matches the Rfam family "Bacterial small subunit ribosomal RNA", at positions 28 to 868 of the family's 1533-position model. Lineage: Bacteria; Bacillati; Bacillota; Bacilli; Lactobacillales; Lactobacillaceae. The record is from RNAcentral.
GAUGAACGCUGGCGGCGUGCCUAAUACAUGCAAGUCGAACGCAUUGUGGUUGAAAUGAUAUGAAGAACUUGUUCAGAUUUGAUUUUCAACAUUGCAAUGAGUGGCGAACGGGUGAGUAACACGUGGGAAACCUACCUCUUAGCAGGGGAUAACAUUUGGAAACAAAUGCUAAUACCGUAUAAUAAUUAAAACCGCAUGGUUUUAGUUUAAAAGAUGGUCUUGCUAUCACUAAGAGAUGGUCCCGCGGUGUAUUAGUUAGUUGGUGAGGUAAUGGCUCACCAAGACAAUGAUACAUAGCCGAGUUGAGAGACUGACCGGCCACAAUGGGACUGAGACACGGCCCAUACUCCUACGGGAGGCAGCAGUAGGGAAUCUUCCACAAUGGACGAAAGUCUGAUGGAGCAACGCCGCGUGUGUGAUGAAGGGUUUCGGCUCGUAAAACACUGUUGUAAGAGAAGAAUGACAUUGAGAGUAACUGUUCAAUGUGUGACGGUAUCUUACCAGAAAGGAACGGCUAAAUACGUGCCAGCAGCCGCGGUAAUACGUAUGUUCCAAGCGUUAUCCGGAUUUAUUGGGCGUAAAGCGAGCGCAGACGGUUAUUUAAGUCUGAAGUGAAAGCCCUCGGCUCAACCGAAGAAUUGCUUUGGAAACUGGAUAACUUGAGUGCAGUAGAGGAAAGUGGAACUCCAUGUGUAGCGGUGAAAUGCGUAGAUAUAUGGAAGAACACCAGUGGCGAAGGCGGCUUUCUGGACUGUAACUGACGUUGAGGCUCGAAAGUGUGGGUAGCAAACAGGAUUAGAUACCCUGGUAGUCCACACUGUAAACGAUGAGUGCUAGUUGUUCGAGGGUUUCCGCCCUUGAGUGACGAAGCUAACGCAUUAAGCACU